GACGAACGCUGGCGGCGUGCCUAAUACAUGCAAGUCGAACGAGAGCGACCGGUGCUUGCACUGGUCAAUCUAGUGGCGAACGGGUGAGUAACACGUGGGUAACCUGCCCAUCAGAGGGGGAUAACAUCCGGAAACGGAUGCUAAAACCGCAUAGGUCUUCGAACCGCAUGGUUUGAAGAGGAAAAGAGGCGCAAGCUUCUGCUGAUGGAUGGACCCGCGGUGCAUUAGCUAGUUGGUGAGGUAACGGCUCACCAAGGCCGUGAUGCAUAGCCGACCUGAGAGGGUGAUCGGCCACAUUGGGACUGAGACACGGCCCAAACUCCUACGGGAGGCAGCAGUAGGGAAUCUUCCGCAAUGGACGCAAGUCUGACGGAGCAACGCCGCGUGAGUGAAGAAGGUGUUCGGAUCGUAAAACUCUGUUGUUAGAGAAGAACAAGUGCUAGAGUAACUGUUAGCGCCUUGACGGUAGCUAACCAGAAAGCCACGGCUAACUACGUG
Molecule: ribosomal RNA, 498 nt
Filed under: uncultured bacterium
Lineage: Bacteria
Description: partial 16S ribosomal RNA
Rfam family: Bacterial small subunit ribosomal RNA
Source: RNAcentral